UCGAGUUUUAUACUCCCAAACCCUUUGUGAACCUUACCUAUCGUUGCUUCGGCGGGUACGCCCCGGCGCCAUCGUGCGUCCGGAUCCAUGGCGCCCGCCGGGGGACAGAAACUCUUGAUUUGUCAGUGGUAUUCUCUCUGAGUGGCACAAGCAAAAAUAAAUCA
This 164-nucleotide unclassified non-coding RNA is filed under the name uncultured Hypocreales. RNAcentral describes it as "sequence contains ITS1". Lineage: Eukaryota; Fungi; Ascomycota; Sordariomycetes; Hypocreales. The record is from RNAcentral.